Molecule: ribosomal RNA, 301 nt
Filed under: uncultured bacterium
Lineage: Bacteria
Description: partial 16S ribosomal RNA
Rfam family: Bacterial small subunit ribosomal RNA
Source: RNAcentral
CAGUCGCCGCGGUAAUACGAAGGGGGCUAGCGUUGUUCGGAAUCACUGGGCGUAAAGCGCACGUAGGCGGACUUUUAAGUCAGGGGUGAAAUCCCAAGGCUCAACCUUGGAACUGCCUUUGAUACUGGAAGUCUUGAGUUCGGGAGAGGUGAGUGGAACUGCGAGUGUAGAGGUGAAAUUCGUAGAUAUUCGCAAGAACACCAGUGGCGAAGGCGGCUCACUGGCCCGAUACUGACGCUGAGGUGCGAAAGCGUGGGGAGCAAACAGGAUUAGAUACCCCCGUAGUCCCUGUCUCUUAUAC